GGGGAUUGGGGUCGAUGAUCCUAUAUGGGUUAAGGGGGGAUUGGGGUUGAUGAUCCUAUAUGGGUUAAGGGGGGAUUGGGGUUGAUGAUCCUAUAUGGGGCAGGGGGGGAGAUAAAGGGGGAGGGGGGGCACCCAUAGCACAGCCCUAUUGGAUGUAAGGGAAUAAUGGGAUAAUAGGGGAAUGGGGUCUGUAAUGGGGGAAUGGGGUUAUGGGGAAAUGGGAUAUGGGAUGGGGUCUGUAAUGGGGGAAUGGGGUCUGUAAUGGGGGAAUGGGGUUAUGGGGUCUGGAAUGGGGUCUGGAAUGGGGUCUGCAAUGGGGGAAUGGGACAUGGAAUAGGGUCUGUAAAGGGGGAAUGGGGUCUGGAAUGGGGGAAUGGGGUCUGUAAUGGGAUACUGGGACAUAUAAUGGGGUCUGCAAUGGGGGAAUGGGGUUAUGGGGUCUGGAAUGGGGUCUGUAAUAUGGGAAUGGGGGAAUGGGGCAUGGAAUGGGGUCUGCAAUGGGGGAAUGGAGUUAUGGGGUCUGGAAUGGGGUCCGUAAUGGGGAAAUGGGGUCUUUAAUGGGGGAAUGGGGUCUGCAAUGGGGGAAUGGGACAUGGAAUAGGGUCUGGAAUGGGUCUGGCAUAGGGGAAUGGGGAAAUGGGACAUGGAAUGGGGUCUGGAAUGGGCUAAUGGGGGAAUAGAACCUGGAAUGGGAACUGUAAUGGGAGGAAAGGGAGAAUGGGAUGUGGAAUGGGAUCUGUAAUGGGGGAAUGGGGUCUGGAAUGGGGUCUGUAAUACAGGAAUGGGACAUGGAAUGGGGUCUGUAAUAUGGGAAUGGGGGAAUGGGGCAUGGAAUGGGGUCAGGAAUGGGGGAAUGGGGUCUGGAAUGGACUAAUGGGGGAAUGGGGUCUGUAAUGGGGGAAUGGGACAUGGAAUGGGGCAUGGAAUGGGGUCUGGAUUGGAGUCAGUAAUGGGGGAAUGGGUCAUAGAAUGGGGUCUGUAAUGGGGGAAUGGGGUCUGCAAUGGGGUCUGGAAUGGGCUAAUAUGGGAAUGAGGUCUUUAAUGGGGGAACAGGACAUGGAAUGGGGUCAGUAAUGGGGAAAUGGGGUCUGUAAUGGGAGAAUAGGGUCUGUAAUGGGAUACUGGGACAAGUAAUAGGGUCUGUAAUGGGGGAGUGGGGGAAUGGAACAUGGAAUGAUGUCUGUAAUGGGCUAAUGGGGUCUGUAAUGGGAUAAUGGGACAUGUAAUGGGGUCUGUAAUGGGGUCUGUAAUGGGAUAAUGGGACAUGUAAUGGGGUCUGUAAUGGGGUCUGUAAUGGGGGACAGGGGUCUGUGAUGGGAUACUGGGACACAGAAUAGGGUUUGUAAUGGGGUAAUGGGUCACGGAAUGGGGUCUGCAAUGGGGUCUAUA
This 1389-nucleotide long non-coding RNA is filed under the name Coturnix japonica (Japanese quail). RNAcentral's name for it is "lncRNA (ENSCJPG00005001942.1)". The record is from RNAcentral. Lineage: Eukaryota; Metazoa; Chordata; Aves; Galliformes; Phasianidae.